AGAGUUUGAUCCUGGCUCAGAUUGAACGCUGGCGGCAGGCCUAACACAUGCAAGUCGAGCGGUAACAGAUCUAGCUUGCUAGAUGCUGACGAGCGGCGGACGGGUGAGUAAUGCAUAGGAAUCUGCCCGGUAGUGGGGGAUAACCUGGGGAAACCCAGGCUAAUACCGCAUACGUCCUACGGGAGAAAGGGGGCUUCGGCUCCCGCUAUCGGAUGAGCCUAUGUCGGAUUAGCUAGUUGGUGAGGUAAAGGCUCACCAAGGCGACGAUCCGUAGCUGGUCUGAGAGGAUGAUCAGCCACAUCGGGACUGAGACACGGCCCGAACUCCUACGGGAGGCAGCAGUGGGGAAUAUUGGACAAUGGGGGGAACCCUGAUCCAGCCAUGCCGCGUGUGUGAAGAAGGCCCUCGGGUUGUAAAGCACUUUCAGUGAGGAAGAACGCCUGGUGGUUAAUACCCAUCAGGAAAGACAUCACUCACAGAAGAAGCACCGGCUAACUCCGUGCCAGCAGCCGCGGUAAUA
This 520-nucleotide ribosomal RNA is filed under the name uncultured Halomonas sp. RNAcentral describes it as "bacterial SSU rRNA". It matches the Rfam family "Bacterial small subunit ribosomal RNA", at positions 8 to 525 of the family's 1533-position model. The record is from RNAcentral. Lineage: Bacteria; Pseudomonadati; Pseudomonadota; Gammaproteobacteria; Oceanospirillales; Halomonadaceae.